UACGAAGGGGGCGAGCGUUGUUCGGACUUACUGGGCGUAAAGGGCGCGUAGGCGGCCGAUCAAGUCAGAUGUGAAAGUCCUGGGCUUAACCUGGGGACUGCAUUUGAUACUGAUUGGCUUGAAUGCAGGAGAGGAUAGCGGAAUUCCCAGUGUAGAGGUGAAAUUCGUAGAUAUUGGGAAGAACACCGGUGGCGAAGGCGGCUAUCUGGACUGUGAUUGACGCUGAGGCGCGAAAGCGUGGGGAGCAAACAGG
This 253-nucleotide ribosomal RNA is filed under the name uncultured bacterium. RNAcentral describes it as "partial 16S ribosomal RNA". It matches the Rfam family "Bacterial small subunit ribosomal RNA", at positions 524 to 776 of the family's 1533-position model. The record is from RNAcentral.